This 746-nucleotide ribosomal RNA is filed under the name uncultured bacterium. RNAcentral describes it as "bacterial SSU rRNA". It matches the Rfam family "Bacterial small subunit ribosomal RNA", at positions 8 to 796 of the family's 1533-position model. The record is from RNAcentral.
AGAGUUUGAUCAUGGCUCAGGAUGAACGCUGGCGGCGUGCUUAAUACAUGCAAGUCGAGCGGUAACACUUCGGGUGACGAGCGGCGGACGGCUGAGUAACACGUAGGAACGUACCCCAAACUGAGGGGUAAGCACCAGAAAUGGUGUCUAAUACCGCAUGUGGUCUUCGGAUUAAAGCUUCGGCGGUUUGGGAACGGCCUGCGCAUGAUUAGCUUGUUGGUAAGGUAAUGGCUUACCAAGGCGACGAUCAUUAGCUGGUCUGAGAGGAUGAUCAGCCAGACUGGGACUGAGAACGGCCCAGACUCCUACGGGAGGCAGCAGUAGGGAAUUUUCCACAAUGGACGGAAGUCUGAUGGAGCAACGCCGCGUGCAGGAUGAAGGCCUUCGGGUCGUAAACUGCUUUUAUCUGUGAAGAUUAUGACGGUAGCAGAUGAAUAAGGAUCGGCUAACUCCGUGCCAGCAGCCGCGGUCAUACGGAGGAUCCAAGCGUUAUCCGGAAUUACUGGGCGUAAAGAGUUGCGUAGGUGGCAUAGUAAGUUGAUAGUGAAAGCGUGCGGCUCAACCGCAUACACAUUAUCAAAACUGCUAAGCUAGAGGACGAGAGAGGUAAUUGGAAUUCCUAGUGUAGGAGUGAAAUCCGUAGAUAUUAGGAGGAACGCCGAUGGCGUAGGCAGAUUACUGGCUCGUUCCUGACACUAAGGCACGAAAGCGUGGGUAGCAAACGGGAUUAGAUACCCUAGUAGUCC